RNAcentral lists this long non-coding RNA (849 nucleotides) under Salmo salar (Atlantic salmon). Its description in RNAcentral is "lncRNA (ENSSSAG00000087705.1)". Lineage: Eukaryota; Metazoa; Chordata; Actinopteri; Salmoniformes; Salmonidae. The record is from RNAcentral.
CUUUUCCCCGUCGGAAGCACAAAUCCUCAUGGAGGCAUACGAGGAGGUAAAAUAUAUAAUUAAGAAGAAAGGCAACACCGCCACAGUGAUAAAGCAAAGAGAAAAAGCGUGGCAAAGUAUUGCAGACCGCCUGAAUGCAUUAAACAUGAACGGGCCAAAACGGACAUGGCAGCAGGUCAAAAUCAAAUACAAGAACAUUCUGCAGAAUGCAGUGAAAAAGAAUACCCACAGACAAGGCACGGGUGGUGGGUCACCAAAGGCUGACCUUACCCCAGCAGAGGACAUGGCCUUGGAGCUAAAUAAAGGCAGGCCCGUCUUAGAGGGGAUCCCUGGGGGGAAAGAGACGAGCAUAGGUUCCUCCCAAGAUGCCACCCGCUUCAUUCAAGUGUCUGGCAGCACUGUGUUCCUGUUAGAGCCACCAGCACAAGCACCAGACGAUGCUGAUCCAGGUGAAGGCCCCAGUGCAGCAGCAACAGCACAUGAUGGAGACGAUGAUGAGGAGGAGACCAUCUCUCUGGAUUCCAGAAGGCAUGAGGACCCAGAUGCUAUACAGUGGGAAAACCAGCCUGGCAACAUAAGCUCACAAGCUAUCAGAAAGUUGUAUGGCAACCACCUCCGGCGCCAAAUAGAACUGGCAGACAUAGACAUUCAGUACAAGAAGAAAAAGAUGGAAAAUCUUGCACUGGAGUCCGAAAUAAAAAAGAGGACAAUUAGGAAACUGGACCUUGAAAUAAAAAAACUUGAGAGGGAGGUGAGAUAUGCCUUCAAUGUACACUGUAUGCUAACUGUAACACAAAUGUAUUAAUCAUUAUUUUUCUUUCCUCCCCCAGCUCCAAGAAGAUGACACAG